RNAcentral lists this long non-coding RNA (789 nucleotides) under Brassica napus (rape). Its description in RNAcentral is "long non-coding RNA (BNAP_LNC009330)". Lineage: Eukaryota; Viridiplantae; Streptophyta; Magnoliopsida; Brassicales; Brassicaceae. The record is from RNAcentral.
UGUACUCGUCUGAUCCGGAACAAUGUUCAUUCUUCACUCUUUUUGAACCACAAUGCUUCUAAACACCUCCAAUCACUCCAUAAGACACUCCGAUACCUGAUAAAGACAUAUGAAUGCAAUAUGGAUCCUAAAGAUGUAAAAUUCCUAAUCUAUAUGAUCAUUAUGUGCAAAAUGGAUAGUUAAAACAAUGCAAAUAUGCAAGAUAUCAACUCCCCAACACUAGUUCUUUACUUGUCCUCAAGUAAACUUUUCAAAACACAAGGAGGAGAGAUACAAAGAUGCUAGCUUAGCGAAAACAAACACUCAAUGCACUCAACUUGACAUCCUAAAGAAAUAUAGCAAAGAGCAUGAGCAAACUCUCUUAUUAUACUCUAGCUUCUCUAGGCCUAUCCAUACUCUUAUGCCUCUACACAAGUUGCAAUACUCAUCAACUAACAAGUUCUUUAAACCAGCUCUCACAUUGAUUCUCUCACACACACAAGGUGAAUUCUCACAAAUGGGCACAUGAUCUCAAUCAUUUGGUUAAGUAAGCAAUGGUAUAAUUUGAAUGAAGAGAAGGAUUCAAAUGUUGUCAUUUUAAGGUGGCAAUCACUCAAGAAUCAAGGAGUUUGAUCAUUAUGCAAAAUUUAUCUAAGAUUAGGAGCAAUUCAUGCAUACAUGGAUCCAUCCUCAUCAUUCUACCCCAUUCCUAAGUGAUUACAAAUUCUACACCCAUUUCAUUCAUCCCAUAACCCAAAAUGAAAAACACUCACAUCACCCACCCAAUGAACAACAUUCUUUUCUUAAGAC